This 53-nucleotide transfer RNA is filed under the name Bacillus anthracis (anthrax bacterium). RNAcentral's name for it is "tRNA-Thr". It matches the Rfam family "tRNA", at positions 8 to 58 of the family's 71-position model. Rfam says of the family: Transfer RNA (tRNA) molecules are approximately 80 nucleotides in length. Their secondary structure includes four short double-helical elements and three loops (D, anti-codon, and T loops). Further hydrogen bonds mediate the characteristic L-shaped molecular structure. tRNAs have two regions of fundamental functional importance: the anti-codon, which is responsible for specific mRNA codon recognition, and the 3' end, to which the tRNAs corresponding amino acid is attached (by aminoacyl-tRNA synthetases). tRNAs cope with the degeneracy of the genetic code in two manners: having more than one tRNA (with a specific anti-codon) for a particular amino acid; and 'wobble' base-pairing, i.e. permitting non-standard base-pairing at the 3rd anti-codon position. The record is from RNAcentral. Lineage: Bacteria; Bacillati; Bacillota; Bacilli; Caryophanales; Bacillaceae.
UAGCUCAAUUGGUAGAGCAACUGACUUGUAAUCAGUAGGUUGGGGGUUCAAGU